UCGGGGCCAGGUUAGGGGCUGGGAGGUGGGAGACGGUCUAGCUUCCCCCUCCCUUUGGAUGGAAACCACCCUGGCUUUCUGAAAGCCACAGUCGAAUCUAGAAAACUCGGGGAACGCUCUGCAUCGGAGCCCCUCGCGGUCGGGGUAGGGAGGCGGCCAGCCGCCCAGUCGGGCCCCAAAGCAAGGCCCACUCGCGCCCGCUGCAACCUCUCUGGGGGAGAGGAACCUUUCCUUUCUGAAGCCUCAGAGCGCGUGCCCCUGGCCGUGGAUGAGGAGAAAGCUCUAGGGCAGAAGCGCCAGCUGGGUGGCGGCCACGGCAGUGCAGCCACAUGGGUCUGCAAACGCGGGCUCCAAGUUCCCCGGAAGGGUCUCUGCCCGAUCACUUCACCCCGACUCGAGAGGUCCCUCCUCUGCAGCCUCGCGUCUUUGGGUGGAAGGGAAAAGGGGGCAUCGUGCUGCCCUUUCUUUGAAUCAACUUCCCGAUGUCACCGUGGAACCUCUCCCUGAGAGACACCGUGAUGAAAACAGAUGUUGAACAUGGCUACAGCCUCAGGGUGAUUUCUAAGCCUGACACCUAAGGCUGAAACCAGAAAGAAAGAAAAGACAGACGCAUAGUGAGCCAUCAUUGUGAUGUUGCAGAGGACUCUGGGUCUGUGACGUAGCAAAGCCACGUUCACCAACAGACAGCCAAUCCGAAAGCCAAGGCCCAGCGGGACAGCAGGAGGCACGUAAGCCAGCAAUACUGAUGCUGGGCACUGCACGUGCUACCUGAUUCCAAUCAUUGUGCAGAGAAUGAAAUAACAGCAGCGGCAUCUGAACAGCUGAGGCACAGAAAGCAGACUGCCCUGCCGUUGACGGAGAGCCUUCCUUAACUGGAAACACCAAGCAAAGUGUACAAAACCAAAAGGGAGCUGGCCCAGGGCAGAAGCAGAGCUGCCACAGGCUGGCACCUGGCGCUGCUGCCUUCCUUCUCCCUGGAAGAGGGUGAUGGGGCCACUGGGAGAGCAUGCAGAUCCCCAGAGCCUCAUUGCCACCCCUACUCCCCACCCCGACCUCCAGCCUCCGAGAAUCUCAGGUAUGUCCCCUGGAGGUUCCCCCU
Molecule: long non-coding RNA, 1099 nt
Organism: Balaenoptera ricei (Rice's whale)
Lineage: Eukaryota; Metazoa; Chordata; Mammalia; Artiodactyla; Balaenopteridae
Exons: 4
Source: RefSeq, a predicted model, not a curated record